Molecule: long non-coding RNA, 1700 nt
Organism: Felis catus (domestic cat)
Lineage: Eukaryota; Metazoa; Chordata; Mammalia; Carnivora; Felidae
Exons: 3
Source: RefSeq, a predicted model, not a curated record
CCCCUUCCCCACCCCCAGGCUAUCUCUCCGGCAAAUUCUGAAGCUAAGCGAGUCCCCCCCGCAUCCUUGCUGAAUCCGGCGCCGGCUUUAAAGAGUGAAGGGUCUGGGUCUCUCCGUUUCAAGAGCACUGGCAGGUCUAUGGCUGCUUCACCGGCAGCCCGAGCGGGGUCGAGGAAAGUCUGCAGUGCUCCACACGGCCCCCGACCCCUAGCUUAAGUGGCCGGCCUUUCGGCUUUGGCUUGUCGCGUCCAGCCCACCCUGCGCUCCGGUGUAGCUCUUGCGAACUAGCAUUAUCGACUGUAUGCGCCACCCUCCGAGGGGAGCGGAAGGUCGGUGCAAGUAUCUUAUUCCUCUAUUUGGCCCUCUCAGCGCCCAGAGAGAGGCUUUGAGCGUGGCAGGUGGUUCAAGUGACCCUAGAAUCUCGAGAGGAGUGCGCCGGAGGUGGAAAAAGAAGGUGCCCUAGUGCUAGCUGGACUUCUUGGUUUUCCAAUCAGCAGAACCUUCUCCUGCGUGCUGGAGAACUCCACCUUCGCCUCCUUGGUUCCAGACACAACACCUUUCAGUUGAUCCACGCAGCUUUUCUGAAGCUUCUUUACUUUCCCACAGACCUGAGAACCCGGAUUUUUAAUGCACACCUAUCCAGGAUUUUAUGAGACUCUUGUGGCCCUAGACUCCAAGAGCUUCAGAAGUAAUUUCCCCACUCAGCAACAGAGGGGAAAUAGCAGGAAAGGAAUUUAAGUUUCUUCUAUGAGAGAGGCUGGGUCAGUGCCUGGCACAUAAUAUAUGCUUAGCAAAUAUGAUACUUGCUGGUUUGAACGGACUAAAAGGAUGCUCACUGGAGCAAGGACAAGCGAUUUGAAACUGGAUUGCCAGUUGGCUUCUGGAAUCAAUUGCUUAUGAACUGGACAUGGUGAGGUGGAUGUUAUCUGGGCCACUAAGAAAUUGGGUCUGAAAAUACCUCCAGGGUCUGUCCCAAACUGACCUGAAAAGUCUGUAAAGAGAAUACACUUUGGGCACCAGGGUGGGUUUGGGGAAACAGCAGACAACUCAGGACUUUUGAGUUCGUCCCUCCCGGAGCAAAAGCUUGAACCGACACAACCGGCUGAAAUCCUCCCUGGUUCCUCCCUCCUGCAAACGACUUUGAUAUUUAUUGCAGCUGCCUGCGUUUGCAGCGCUCUCCCGGCUCUGCUCCGUCCCAGAAGAGGCACCGGCACGUCUCGCUGCCCGCGUCCUGUAGCCCUACCUCUGUGCAGCCCUUCCCUCCCCAGUAAAAUGUUCUCAGCGCACAAAAGCCGCCGCUGAAGGGAAGGAACAGCUUCGGGCCGAGAGGGAGGGAGCUGGCCGGCUGCACCAUCUGCAGUGGAAAACGGACGCCGCUCACCCCGCCUAGGAAACUAAUGGAGCGUCCCUAAGAGACCCAAACUCCAGCUUGGCUCACCCCAGCUUUCUCCCCCACCUCCAGACCCCCAGGUGAGACAGCCCCGUCAGCCUGCCUGUGGAAGGGCGCUUGCAGCCAGCUUCCGAUCCCGGAAUUCGACCGGAAUCUUGAGCAGGUUUUGUUUUGUGAAAAGAAAUGUUGUCAUCACCGGUUUUUUCCCCCCUUUGUUUUCCAGCAUUUUCUUUUCUUGUGGUAACUUAAAACAUUUCCUCUGGGGAUGGGGUGAGAAGAGUCGGACAUAAAUGUUUGCCAGUGCAAAGUC